ACGACUCUCAGCAACGGAUAUCUUGGCUCUUGCAAUGAUGAAGAACAUAGUGAAAUGUGAUACGUAGUGUGAAUUGCAGAAUUUUGCGAAUCAUUGAGUCUUUGAAUGCAAGUUGUGCCCGUGGCUCGUCCAAGGGCAUGCCUUCCUGAGCGUUCC
This 156-nucleotide ribosomal RNA is filed under the name Psilotum nudum. RNAcentral describes it as "5.8S ribosomal RNA". It matches the Rfam family "5.8S ribosomal RNA". From Rfam's summary of the family: 5.8S ribosomal RNA (5.8S rRNA) is a component of the large subunit of the eukaryotic ribosome. It is transcribed by RNA polymerase I as part of the 45S precursor that also contains 18S and 28S rRNA. Functionally, it is thought that 5.8S rRNA may be involved in ribosome translocation. The record is from RNAcentral. Lineage: Eukaryota; Viridiplantae; Streptophyta; Polypodiopsida; Psilotales; Psilotaceae.